CGUGCCGUAUCCCAACUGGCUGGAGGAGCGGGACUCAAAAUCCCGUGGACGGAAGUCCCACUGUGGGUUCAAAUCCCACCGGCACGA
RNAcentral lists this transfer RNA (87 nucleotides) under Candidatus Omnitrophota bacterium. RNAcentral's name for it is "tRNA-Leu". It matches the Rfam family "tRNA". From Rfam's summary of the family: Transfer RNA (tRNA) molecules are approximately 80 nucleotides in length. Their secondary structure includes four short double-helical elements and three loops (D, anti-codon, and T loops). Further hydrogen bonds mediate the characteristic L-shaped molecular structure. tRNAs have two regions of fundamental functional importance: the anti-codon, which is responsible for specific mRNA codon recognition, and the 3' end, to which the tRNAs corresponding amino acid is attached (by aminoacyl-tRNA synthetases). tRNAs cope with the degeneracy of the genetic code in two manners: having more than one tRNA (with a specific anti-codon) for a particular amino acid; and 'wobble' base-pairing, i.e. permitting non-standard base-pairing at the 3rd anti-codon position. The record is from RNAcentral. Lineage: Bacteria; Pseudomonadati; Candidatus Omnitrophota. RNAcentral also lists the same sequence under 1 other name.